AUGGCGUACCGGAGGAAGCAGGGCAUCCAGCGGUCGAACACCUUCGUGGAGGACCACCGCCAGCCGUCGCCGGGCGACUCCGCGUCGCCCGCCACCGCGUCCCCGCGCGCCACCCGCUUCGCCGACGACAGCCGCCGGCCCGACCGCUCCCUGGCGGCGCAGACCCUGCUCGCCUCCGCCGCGCGCGGGGACAUGCAGGCGCUCGCCGAGCGCUUCACUGCAUCCUCCUCGUCCCCGCUCGCCGCCCGGCCGAGUGACCCCGUCACGUCGUCGUCCCUGCGGGUGUCCCCGCGCGCCGCCCGGGCGGCUGACCCCGCCACGUCGUCGUCCCUGCGCGUGUCCCCGCGCUCCGGCCGGCCGAAUGACCCCAUCACGUCGACGUCCCCACGGGCGUCCCCGCGCUCCGGCCGGCAGAACGACAUGUUCGCGCAGGAUCCUGUGACCAUGCUGUACACGUCCACGUCGAGCGCCACGAACGACGACUCCAAGCUUUCACCAGUGAAGAAAGACGAGACGAAGCAAGGACUGUGGGGGCUUCUGGCGCAGCAAGCUAAGGCCAUGCUCGACGAAAGUGCCCCCACAGAGGAGGCCCGGAGCCAGCCUCUGGCCACAUCAGCCGGCAGUCCGCAAGCUCAAUCACGGUGGUCCUACGACCCGGUCCGGAAGUCGGAGAGCCCUACGUUCCAGCACGGAUCGGAAGGGCCGAAGUUCGACAUGGGAGGGCACAUCAAGAAUGCGCUGGAGGAGGGCCUGCAUGCGGCGACGAUGGCGGAGAGCAGGACGCCGGCGGUGGUGGGGAGGAAGCUGCAGAUCAGGAGGAAGACGUGCAGCGUGGACAUGCGGAGCGCCCACCUGAACCUGGGCACCCCCGACCUCAUGUCGCCGAUGAUGACCGACUUCGAGUCGCCCCAGAUCAAAGCUUCUCGCGACGUGGCGAACGUGAUGGCGGCCAAGGUGAAGCUGCUGCAGCGGGAGCUCAAGACGGUGAACGCCGACCUGGCCUUCUCCAAGGAGCGGUGCGCGCAGCUGGAGGAGGAGACCCGCCUGCACCGGGCCGGCAACAACGACCACGCCGCCAACGAGGACCUGGUACGGAAGCAGCUGGAGACGCUGCUGGCGGAGAAGGCGCGGCUGGCCACCGAGAACACGGUGUACGCCAGGGAGAACCGGUUCCUGCGGGAGAUCGUCGACCUCAACCAGCUAACCGUGGUCGGCCUCCAAGAGGACAUCAUCGAGGAGGAAGAAGAAGAAGAAGAAUACGAGGAGGAAGAAGAAGAAUACGAGGAGGAGGAAGAGGCCGAGCACGACACACCGGCCAACCCCGGCACUGCCCCUCCCAAGCCCCCCUCACAUCACACCGACAAUGUGCAUGUUGCUGCCCCACAGCCGCCCUCUCGCCGCACCGACAAUGCGGCUGUUCCUGCCCCCAAGUCUCCCUCACAUCGCACCGACAAUGCACCGGUUGCUGCCCCCCAGUCGCCCUCUCGCCGCACCGACAAUGUGCCAGUUACUGUCCCACAGUCGCCCUCUCGCCGCACUGACAAUGUGCCGGUUGCAUCUCCCUGCACCGACAAUGCGCCGGAGUCGAGGAGCACAGACAACAGCAGCAACGCUGCCAUCGGAGUUGCCGGGUCGCCCAUGCACCGGAGUCCAAAGGAAGAUGAAGGUUCACAGCAGACAAACCCCAUUCGAGAUAAUUGCUCGCCGGAGAAGGCCUCCCAGCAGCAGCAAUGCCAAGACUGA
This 1743-nucleotide ribosomal RNA is filed under the name Triticum aestivum (bread wheat). RNAcentral's name for it is "partial small subunit ribosomal RNA". The record is from RNAcentral. Lineage: Eukaryota; Viridiplantae; Streptophyta; Magnoliopsida; Poales; Poaceae.